Molecule: ribosomal RNA, 253 nt
Filed under: uncultured bacterium
Lineage: Bacteria
Description: partial 16S ribosomal RNA
Rfam family: Bacterial small subunit ribosomal RNA
Source: RNAcentral
UACGUAGGGGGCAAGCGUUAUCCGGAUUUACUGGGUGUAAAGGGAGCGUAGACGGCAUGGCAAGUCAGAAGUGAAAGCCCGGGGCUCAACCCCGGGACUGCUUUUGAAACUGCCGUGCUAGAGUGCAGGAGAGGUAAGUGGAAUUCCUAGUGUAGCGGUGAAAUGCGUAGAUAUUAGGAGGAACACCAGUGGCGAAGGCGGCUUACUGGACUGUAACUGACGUUGAGGCUCGAAAGCGUGGGGAGCAAACAGG